Erinaceus europaeus (western European hedgehog) is the source of this 1522-nucleotide long non-coding RNA. RefSeq lists it as uncharacterized. The transcript has 2 exons. Lineage: Eukaryota; Metazoa; Chordata; Mammalia; Eulipotyphla; Erinaceidae. The record is from RefSeq and is a predicted model, not a curated record.
GGUGUCCGCUUGCCCUUGGGCUGUGACUGGAGGUUGGUUCUGUCUCUCCAGCCCCCUCUCCCACACCCCCCCUCCCUCUCUGGGCAGCAUCCCCUUGUCCCUGCCCAGAUAGGGAGCCUCUGUGAGUCUGGGGCCUCUGCUUUCUGUCUGUAUCGCCUCUUCUCUGCCUCUUCUGGGGGCGGGGGGGGGGGAGGGGAGGGGAGGGUCCCUCCCUGGGGAGGUGCUGCAGGUGCAUUUGGUGAGAUGGGAGCUGGGAUGCUCAUCUGGUCGGCACACCUGGCCGGGGCUCUGUCAGCACAGGGCGGGGGGAGGGCGGUGACAGUGAUGUCCCUGCUGAGUUCCAGUUGGGGAGACAGACAGAAAAUUUGGUGGGUGACAGAAGCUACAGUUUCUGGGUGACAGGCACGUGACGGACAGGGCCACAUGUGUGUCUUCACUUGUCCAGUAGCCACACAGAGCACAGACCCAGCUUUCAGCUCUGCUUGGCUUAGCCCAGACUAUCCAAGCAGCCUGGCCACGGCAGCAGGUGGUCAGGACAGGAAGCAGACACACUGAACUGCGAUACCUUUCCCUGCCCGGUAUGCCUUUGAGGUCCCGUGGGUCUGACGUGGUGACAGGUUGCACUGACUGUUUCAUAGACAUGUGUGGCUUCUGGGAAGGACAGCCAGCGUCUACAGGGGCUGGGGACACAGGGAUCUAUGAGUGUAAAGAGGGUGUCAGGAGCAGCUCCCCUGAAGAGAGUUUCAACUCAGCUGUGAGUGUGGAGCAGUAGGAAGAGUGCUCUCUAGCAAAAGGGUCCCCUUAGGAAAGGUGCUCCCCAGAGAGUGUCCCCUUAGGAAAAGUGCUCCCUAGGGAGAAGUGCUCCCCUAGGAAAAGUGUUCUCCAGAGAGAGAGGGUGCUCCCCUGGGAAAAAAAUGCUCCCCUAGGAAGAAGUGUGCUCUCCAGUAAGAGUAUUCCCGGCAAGAAUGCUCCCCUAGGAAAAGUGCUCCCUAGAAAGAGUGUCCCUAGGAAGAGUACUCCCCAGUAAGAGUGUUCCCCAGGAAAACCAUACACCAGGGAGACAGCUCUAGGAUGGGGAAUGGCCUGGGAACAGAGCUAGGGGACUGGUGGGGAGUGAGCAGGGAUGGUGGAGGGCUGGGAGGUGGGGUCUAAGAGGUGACAGAGGGACACCACACUGGGCUCCAGAGAAUUGAUUCCAAGGGUGACAGGAAGCUUCUGGAAGCUUCUCAAGAGAGUGACUGAUGGCGUCCGACUCAGUGGACGCAGUGAGGAGGCCCAGGUGAGUGAGGACGGAGGAACAGGUGGGGGUGGAUGUUUCCUGAAGGGAGUGGAAGGAAAAAGAGGAGAGGAGGCAAGGACAACAAAUCUUUAGUUCGUUCAUUCAUUCAUUCAUUCAUUCGCUCACUCGUUGAUUCACCGACAUGCCUUCCCCACCUCUUUUACCUUGAGCCGCUGCACCCAGUUUGAAGGGUACAGAAAAGACUUGAACUUCGGGUCUGGAGACUAAGGGCCAAGACAGACA